Molecule: ribosomal RNA, 446 nt
Filed under: uncultured bacterium
Lineage: Bacteria
Description: partial 16S ribosomal RNA
Rfam family: Bacterial small subunit ribosomal RNA
Source: RNAcentral
UGGGGAAUAUUGCACAAUGGGCGCAAGCCUGAUGCAGCCAUGCCGCGUGUAUGAAGAAGGCCUUCGGGUUGUAAAGUACUUUCAGCGGGGAGGAAGGGAGUAAAGUUAAUACCUUUGCUCAUUGACGUUACCCGCAGAAGAAGCACCGGCUAACUCCGUGCCAGCAGCCGCGGUAAUACGGAGGGUGCAAGCGUUAAUCGGAAUUACUGGGCGUAAAGCGCACGCAGGCGGUUUGUUAAGUCAGAUGUGAAAUCCCCGGGCUCAACCUGGGAACUGCAUCUGAUACUGGCAAGCUUGAGUCUCGUAGAGGGGGGUAGAAUUCCAGGUGUAGCGGUGAAAUGCGUAGAGAUCUGGAGGAAUACCGGUGGCAAGGCGGCCCCCUGGACGAAGACUGACGCUCAGGUGCGAAAGCGUGGGGCAGCAAACAGGAUUAGAUACCCUGGUAG